AGAGUUUGAUCCUGGCUCAGGACUAACGCUGGCGGCGUGCUUAACACAUGCAAGUCGAACGGUCUGACAACCGGCUUCGGUUGGUUGCCAGAUAGUGGCGGACGGGUGAGUAACGCGUGGAUAACCUGCCCAUCAGACAGGGAUAACACCGGGAAACUGGUGCUAAUACCGGAUACGUACGUAAGAGGGCAUCCUUUUAUGUAGAAAGGUGAUGCAAGUCACUACUGAUGGAUGGGUCCGCGUCCCAUUAGCUAGUUGGUAGGGUAAUAGCCUACCAAGGCGACGAUGGGUAGCCGGCCUGAGAGGGUGGCCGGCCACACUGGGACUGAGAUACGGCCCAGACUCCUACGGGAGGCAGCAGUGGGGAAUCUUCCGCGAAUGGGCGAAAGCCUGACGGAGCAACGCCGCGUGAGUGAAGAAGGCUUUCGGGUCGUAAAACUCUGUCUUGGGGGAAGAAAAAAAUGACGGUACCCCAGGAGGAAGCCCCGGCUAACUACGUGCCAGCAGCCGCGGUAAAACGUAGGGGGCGAGCGUUGUCCGGAAUUACUGGGCGUAAAGGGCGUGUAGGCGGUUCAAGAAGUCAGGGGUGAAAUACCGCAGCUCAACUGCGGGGCUGCCUCUGAAACCAUUGAGCUUGAGGGCAGGAGAGGGGAGUGGAGUUCCCGGUGUAGCGGUGAAAUGCGUAGAUAUCGGGANGGAACACCAGUGGCGAAGGCGGCUCUCUGGCCUGACCCUGACGCUGAGGCGCGAAAGCGUGGGGAGCAAACAGGAUUAGAUACCCUGGUAGUCCACGCCGUAAACGAUGGGUGCUAGGUGUUGGGGGUAUCGACCCCCUCAGUGCCGCAGUUAACACAAUAAGCACCCCGCCUGGGGAGUACGGCCGCAAGGUUGAAACUCAAAGGAAUUGACGGGGGCCCGCACAAGCGGUGGAGCAUGUGGUUUAAUUCGACGCAACGCGAAGAACCUUACCAGGGCUUGACAUCCCCUGACGACUUAUGAAAGUAAGUUUUCUGCCUUCGGGUAGACAGGGAAGACAGGUGGUGCAUGGUUGUCGUCAGCUCCUGUCGUGAGAUGUUGGGUUAAGUCCCGCAACGAGCGCAACCCUUACGGUUAGUUGCCAGCGGUUAAAGCCGGGCACUCUAGCUGAACUGCCGUUGACAAAACGGAGGAAGGUGGGGAUGACGUCAAAUCAUCAUGCCCUUUAUGUCCUGGGCUACACACGUGCUACAAUGGCCUGUACAGAGGGAAGCGAAGGGGCGACCUGAAGCGAAUCCCAAAAAGCAGGUCUCAGUUCGGAUUGCAGGCUGCAACUCGCCUGCAUGAAGUCGGAAUCGCUAGUAACACAGGUCAGCAUACUGUGGUGAAUACGUUCCCGGGCCUUGUACACACCGCCCGUCACACCACGAAAGCCGGCAACACCCGAAGCCGGUGGCCUAACCCGCAAGGGAGGGAGCCGUCGAAGGUGGGGUUGGUAAUUGGGGUGAAGUCGUAACAAGGUAACC
RNAcentral lists this ribosomal RNA (1502 nucleotides) under toluene-degrading methanogenic consortium bacterium. RNAcentral describes it as "bacterial SSU rRNA". It matches the Rfam family "Bacterial small subunit ribosomal RNA". The record is from RNAcentral.